RNAcentral lists this unclassified non-coding RNA (371 nucleotides) under soil metagenome. RNAcentral's name for it is "partial contains 5.8S ribosomal RNA, internal transcribed spacer 2, and large subunit ribosomal RNA". The stretch from base 1 to 121 matches the Rfam family "5.8S ribosomal RNA", at positions 35 to 154 of the family's 154-position model. The record is from RNAcentral.
GAUGAAGAACGUAGCGAAAUGCGAUAAGUAAUGCGAAUUGCAGAAUUCCAGUGAGUCAUCGAAUCUUUGAACGCACAUUGCGCCCUUUGGUAUUCCGAAGGGCAUGCCUGUUCGAGCGUCAUUAUCACCCCUCAAGCCCUCGGCUUGGUGUUGGACGGUUUGGUGGAGGCCCCCUCGGGGGCUCCUGCCCCUCCCAAAGACAAUGACGGCGGCCUCGUUGGACCCCCGGUACACUGAGUUCUUCACGGGACACGUAUCGGACACAUGGGUUUACGGGACACGGUCUGCCUCCCCUCAGGGAGAAUCUUUCUAAGGUUGACCUCGGAUCAGGUAGGGAUACCCGCUGAACUUAAGCAUAUCAAUGCGGAGGA